CUCAAGUUACCAUCGCUAACGCGUGAGCUGACUAGGGAAUUAUUGAUCCCGGAGUUGGCUAAAUGAGCUGUAUACUUUGUAGAGUCAAUUUAAUGGAAUACGUCUAAUAAACGUGCGCUACACCAGUACAAAAAUAGCAACAAAGUUUGCACAGCACCUGCGACUGUCAAACUGAUUUAAGCCAGUCAGCAGAAACAGCAGCAGCAGUAGCAGCAGUUCACCUACAUACACACACACACACACACACCCACCCAAAUACACAAAUAGCACGCACACACUGCUAAAAUGGUGGACGCUGCGAGACAAAUGCUCGAUGAGCUAAUGGGCCGCAAUCGAAAUUUGCAUCCAUCUGAGGCUGGGCAAGCGGUCAAUUGGGAAGAUCCAGAGUUCUGUCAAUUUUACAAUGUGAAAUUCUGUCCGCAUGAUCUGUUUAUUAAUACUCGUGCCGAUUUGGGUCCUUGCACACGCAUCCACGACGAGGAGGCGAAACAUUUGUACGAGGAGGCGCGUCCAUCGCAGCGCAAACGCCAUACGGAGGAUGAGUUUCUGCGCUUCUGCAAUGUGAUGCUGCACGAUGUCGAUCGGAAGAUACAAAAGGGCAAGCAGCGCCUGCAGCUGAUGCAGCGCGAUCAUCCGUCGGGCACAAUGUCGCAAGCGGCCAAGCAGCAGGAGCAUCUGAACAAUCUAACCGCACGCAUCAACAAACUGAUGGCCGAGGCUGAGGAGGCAGGCAUCCGCGGCGAUGUGGAUCAGGCGCAGGAUCUGAUGGCCAUGUGCGAGGAGCUCAAAGAGGAGAAGGAAUCAUUGCAUCAGCAAUAUGAGGCGCACAUGAAAAGCUAUCACAAGUUGCGUGCGCCGCCGCCAACAGCGAUAACAACAGCUGUAACCACGCCCACCACACCAACAAUAAACGAAGCACCAAUAGGAGAACAGCUGCUACUUGCCAGUCCCGGUUCCAGCGUAGAAAACGUAGCUGGCAAUACGAUUGCGCUCGACAGCAAAGAACCCAAUGAAACGACCGAUGAGGCAACAACAGGAAUUGCAAGCUCUCCAUCAAGCGAAUGUGCUUCGCCCAGAGCGGCCGCAUCCCCCUCAGCCGAUGACAACAAAUCGGAGUCCAAGGGCGAUGGCAAACAGACGGCGAAUUGGUCGCACGAAGUGCUGCCCGAAAAACAAAUGAAGGUGUGCGAAAUAUGCGGCGCUUUUCUGAUUGUGGGCGAUGCCCAGCAGCGCAUCGAAGACCAUUUGAUGGGCAAACAGCAUUUGGGUUACUCCAAGCUGCGCAAUGCUGUUGCCGAGAUCAAUGAGCGGCGACAAAAGGAGCACGAAGAGGAGGAGCGCAAGCGGCGCGAUGAUCGUGUGCAACGCUUUCACAAUAGCUACGAGAGCAGACGUGAUCAGCGCGACUAUCGGGAACGCAGUCGUGACUAUCCGCCCAAUCGUCAAUCGUCGGACAGGCGGCAUCAUCAUCACAAAUCACACCACGGCCAUUCAUAUUCGCGCAGUGGCAGCCACAACAGCAGCAGCAGCAGUCGGCGCAGCAGUCAUAGUCAUCAUUAUCGUCACGACAGUCGGGAGCGGCAUGGUCGCAGUCGCAGUCGCAGCCGUUACUAGGACACAACCAAAGCUACAAACAGCCGCUGCUACAACAACAGCAACAUCUAACAAAAGCAAACAAAAGAAACAAAAACUGCAGCAAACUAUGAUAAAAAACAAAGCAAAAACAUAAUAAACUCUUCUAAUCGAAACGCAAAAUGAAAUUAGCUGAAGAUACUACGCAACCUCAGCAACAACAACAACAUCAACAUCUCUGGCCGAUUGCCACGUCCCUCUUCCACCCCUACAUACUCCAUGCAGCAUCGAGGUACUCCAAAAUAAGAUAAUAAUAACACAUUUCAAUAAUAUAUAAAAAAAAAAGCAAUUAAGAUCAGACAGUCUAAGGGGCACGCAUGUGUGCGUGGCACAUGUGCCAAACAUGCCAAAGAUCUGAGGAUCUAAGGAAUGCGCAUGUUCUUCCAAUUACCAACUAUCGCUCUAAUUCUGACAGCUAGAUAGGGAGAGAAAGAGAAAGAGAGCAUUGUAUUCCUGGGCCCCAAAUGUGGAGCUACUCCAGACAGACGAAUGCAAAUGCCAUGGAGUGCCUAGUCAAAGGAGCAACGAGUAACCAGUAACGAGUAGCGCGAUUAACGAGUAACCAGUAGCGAGCAGCGAGGGUGACGGUCUCACUGUAUCUUCCACUCAUGCUAACUGUAUUAAAGCAUGAGAUACGAGGUGAAUUUCAA
Molecule: unclassified non-coding RNA, 2282 nt
Filed under: Drosophila mojavensis
Lineage: Eukaryota; Metazoa; Arthropoda; Insecta; Diptera; Drosophilidae
Description: GI21435
Source: RNAcentral